GCGUGAGUGACGAAGGCCUUAGGGUUGUAAAGCUCUUUUGGCGGGGAAGAUAAUGACGGUACCCGCAGAAUAAGCUCCGGCUAACUUCGUGCCAGCAGCCGCGGUAAUACGAAGGGAGCUAGCGUUGUUCGGAAUCACUGGGCGUAAAGCGCACGUAGGUGGGUGACUAAGUUAGGGGUGAAAGCCCAAGGCUCAACCUUGGAAUUGCCUCUAAUACUGGUCAUCUAGAGUCCGAGAGAGGUGGGUGGAAUUCCUAGUGUAGAGGUGAAAUUCGU
This 275-nucleotide ribosomal RNA is filed under the name uncultured bacterium. Its description in RNAcentral is "partial 16S ribosomal RNA". It matches the Rfam family "Bacterial small subunit ribosomal RNA", at positions 399 to 691 of the family's 1533-position model. The record is from RNAcentral.